CCUACGGGCGGCAGCAGUGGGGAAUAUUGCACAAUGGGGGGAACCCUGAUGCAGCGACGCCGCGUGAGUGAAGAAGGAUUUCGGGAUGUAAAGCUCUGUCAGCAGGGAAGAAGAAAGACGGUACCUUACCAAAAAGCCCCGGCUAACGACGUACCAGCAGCCGCGGUAAUACGUAGGGGGCAAGCGUUAUUCGGAUUUAAUGGGUGUAAAGGGAGCGUAGACGGUGGUGCAAGUCUGGAGUGAAAGGCAGGGGCCCAACCCCAGGACUGCACUGGAAAAUGUCCGUCUUGAGUGCAGGAGAGGUAAGUGGAAUUCCUAGUGUAGCGGUGAAAUGCGUAGAUAUUAGGAGGAACACCAGUGGCGAAGGCGGCUUACUGGACUGUAACUGACGUUGAGGCGCGAAAGCGUGGGGAGCAAACAGGAUUAGAUACCCGGGUAGUC
RNAcentral lists this ribosomal RNA (441 nucleotides) under uncultured bacterium. RNAcentral's name for it is "partial 16S ribosomal RNA". It matches the Rfam family "Bacterial small subunit ribosomal RNA", at positions 338 to 795 of the family's 1533-position model. The record is from RNAcentral.